This 393-nucleotide ribosomal RNA is filed under the name uncultured bacterium. RNAcentral describes it as "bacterial SSU rRNA". It matches the Rfam family "Bacterial small subunit ribosomal RNA", at positions 505 to 898 of the family's 1533-position model. The record is from RNAcentral.
GUGUCAGCAGCCGCGGUAAGACAGAGGUGGCAAGCGUUGUUCGGAAUUACUGGGCUUAAAGGGCGCGUAGGUGGUGGCAUAAGUCCGAGGUGGAAGACUAAGGCUUAACCUUAGAAUUGCCUUGGAAACUGUAUCACUUGAGUCAGCGAGGGGAUGGCGGAAUUCCAGGUGUAGCGGUGAAAUGCGUAGAUAUCUGGAGGAAGGCCGGUGGCGAAGGCGGCCAUCUGGCGCUGAACUGACACUGAGGCGCGAAAGCGUGGGGAGCAAACAGGAUUAGAUACCCUGGUAGUCCACGCCCUAAACGGUGGGUACUAGGUGUAGGGCUCGCAAGGGUUCUGUGCCGUAGGGAAACCAUUAAGUACCCCGCCUGGGGAGUACGGCCGCAAGGUUGAA